Polypterus senegalus (gray bichir) is the source of this 1117-nucleotide long non-coding RNA. RefSeq lists it as uncharacterized. The record is from RefSeq and is a predicted model, not a curated record. The transcript has 4 exons. NCBI's taxonomy places the organism in Eukaryota, Metazoa, Chordata, Cladistia, Polypteriformes, Polypteridae.
UUGUGUGCCAGAUGUACCUGUAAUGGAUACGUACUUGUGUGAAGGUACUGCAUAUGAAUUUAUAUAAGAUGCAUGAACAUUCCAGUUUUUUGUGCGUAUUUUAAUGCUACGUAUUCAGUCACGUGGAAAGAAUGAAGGUGAUUCCAUGUGUCAAAUUGCCAAGAAAGUGAAGAUUUCAUACAAAAGUGGUUCAAGUUCAGAAUCGUUGUCAGAGCACCAGUGACAAAGAAUCUGAAUUGAUACGUCGCUGAAAAUCUGGCCAGCAUGCAAGAUGUUGGCACUCUCCAGCUCACCACACCAGACAUUUUUCAUAUAUAUCAAGAUAAUGCAACCAACAGAAAAUGUCAGGCUGUGAAUUCUGCAUCCUGUUUCCUCCUAAAUUUGUACUUGUUUGCUUCAUGCUGGCUUGGCAUUCCAGAUUCACUGCUUGGAGCUUAUUGCAUUACCGUGGGUGUGAGCUAAGCUCCCUUCAGCAUACGCAGGGAAGAUUAGCUCUGAGCCAGUCUGCUGAUCCACAGCAUGAAAGGAAGACUGAUGUGCCACCAGCUAUGACAUCACUUCCAGGACCAGCCCAUCUGUGUCUGUCUCUUCCAGAAUGCACCAUAAACGAACACACACACGUUUUCUUUUGUGCCCUUUGCACAAUUUACCAAUAUACGGGGUUUUCCUUUCGGUGCCCCAGACCCUUUAUGAGCUUGUGCUUUAUUACAAUAUAUAUUGUUAUAUAGCACUUCUGCCCCACCCGGAAGUACUACUGGAAGAAGGUCGUUGGACAACCGGAGGGCUUCCGGAUGUCCUAUAAAAGGAGCUAACAACCACUACUCGGGGAGCCAGAGUCAAGAGGAAGAAGGACAAAUGUUGCUGGAAGAAGAGUGGAGGCGGAAAGACAGAGAGAGAGAGACGAAAAGGACUGUGAACUGUGUACUUUGGUGCUCUGUACUGUGCUGUGCUCUGGAGGGCGAAGAAAAAGCACUUCCCAGUUGUAAAUAAAAGUGUGCUCUGUGCUGCACUUGUAUCUCUGCCUGUCUGUGUCGGGUUAGGGUGGCUGUACGCACUCCUGGUAUUCCACAAUAUAUGUCUCAAUGUCUGUCUGUCUGUCUGUCUGUCCACUUUUCAU